RNAcentral lists this ribosomal RNA (492 nucleotides) under uncultured bacterium. RNAcentral describes it as "partial 16S ribosomal RNA". It matches the Rfam family "Bacterial small subunit ribosomal RNA", at positions 29 to 507 of the family's 1533-position model. The record is from RNAcentral.
AGUGAACGCUGGCGGUAGGCCUAACACAUGCAAGUCGAACGGCAGCACAGUAAGAGCUUGCUCUUACGGGUGGCGAGUGGCGGACGGGUGAGGAGUACAUCGGAAUCUACUUUUUCGUGGGGGAUAACGUAGGGAAACUUACGCUAAUACCGCAUACGACCUACGGGUGAAAGCAGGGGAUCUUCGGACCUUGCGCGAUUGAAUGAGCCGAUGUCGGAUUAGCUAGUUGGCGGGGUAAAGGCCCACCAAGGCGACGAUCCGUAGCUGGUCUGAGAGGAUGAUCAGCCACACUGGAACUGAGACACGGUCCAGACUCCUACGGGAGGCAGCAGUGGGGAAUAUUGGACAAUGGGCGCAAGCCUGAUCCAGCCAUACCGCGUGGGUGAAGAAGGCCUUCGGGCUGUAAAGCCCUUUUGUUGGGAAAGAAAAGCAGCAGGUUAAUACCCCGCUGUUCUGACGGUACCCAAAGAAUAAGCACCGGCUAACUUCGUG